This is a non-coding RNA of Oleiphilus sp. HI0065, 73 nucleotides long. The record is from Rfam. Lineage: Bacteria; Pseudomonadati; Pseudomonadota; Gammaproteobacteria; Oceanospirillales; Oleiphilaceae.
GGGGCCAUAGCUCAGCUGGGAGAGCGCAACGCUGGCAGCGUUGAGGUCGACGGUUCGAUCCCGUCUGGCUCCA